RNAcentral lists this ribosomal RNA (254 nucleotides) under uncultured bacterium. Its description in RNAcentral is "partial 16S ribosomal RNA". It matches the Rfam family "Bacterial small subunit ribosomal RNA", at positions 524 to 776 of the family's 1533-position model. The record is from RNAcentral.
UACGUAGGGGGCAAGCGUUGUCCGGAUUCAUUGGGCGUAAAGAGCGUGUAGGCGGCCAGGUAGGUCGGUUGUGAAAACUGGAGGCUCAACCUUCAGACGUCGACCGAAACCAUCUGGCUAGAGUCCGGGAGAGGAGAGUGGAAUUCCUGGUGUAGCGGUGAAAUGCGCAGAUAUCAGGAAGAACACCCGUGGCGAAAGCGGCUCUCUGGAACGGUACUGACGCUGAGACGCGAAAGCGUGGGGGAGCGAACCGG